Molecule: long non-coding RNA, 1131 nt
Filed under: Apteryx owenii (little spotted kiwi)
Lineage: Eukaryota; Metazoa; Chordata; Aves; Apterygiformes; Apterygidae
Description: lncRNA (ENSAOWG00000014220.1)
Source: RNAcentral
GCAGUUUUAUCGCUUUUAUUGCAUAACAACCAUUAAUGAAGUGCAGUUUCAGGCACCUUAAUUGCUCGGAGACUAAAGUUCAAUCCUCGCUGCGCGCGGGCUGGAAGAUGCCAUGUGUCACGCGAGUGCCCGGCAGCCAGGAAACGAAGCGGAUUUACGGUGACUCUCCAGCCGCGGGAGCAGAGGGCCCCGGUUGCAGGGGAGAAGCGGCGCCGGCCGGCAGCAGCAGGCAGGGUCCCGCGGGGCCCCAUGCGGGCUUGCGGCAGCGCACGCGUGUGCACAGCACGCGCCCAUCCACGCAGCGCCCAACGUGCCCGGGAACACACCCACAGGCCGCUUACACACGUGCACCAUGCAGCACACACCUGUGUCUGCACCACAAACCUGUCACGCACACAGCUGCGCACGACAUCCAUCCUCUGUACGUACACACACCCUGCAGUUGUGCCUAUCACACACACACCUAGCAGCCUGACACACUCACACAGGCCUGUAUGUCACACCAUAACACAUCUGGACACACCUGUACAUCACAGGCAAUCUGUAACACACUCACACACACAUGCACAUCAGCACACAGGUAUGCACCACCGGUGUCGCAAACUGAUGCACACCUGUGAACGUGCGCACCAACACACCCUGCGCAGCGAAAUGCACACACAGGUACACACCACGCACGUUGCACACCAACACACAUGCAUGCACUGUGCAUGCUGCACGUCCACACACAAGGACACACCGUGCACGUUGCACACCUGCACACACAUGCACCACGCACAUUGCACACCAAAACACGUGUGCACCACACAUGUUGCACGUCGAUGCACAAGGACACACCGUGCAUGUUGCACACCCGCACACGCGUGCACCAUGCACAUUGCACACCGAAACACAUGUGCACCACACGCAUUGCACAUUGAUGCACAAGAACACACCAGGCAUGUCGCAAACCCGCACACGCGUGCACCAUGCACACUGCACGCCGAAACACGUGUGCACCACACGCAUUGCACAUCGAUGCACAAGGAUACACUGUGCGCACGCCCCCCCUUGCACACGCGCGUGCACACGGCGCCCCCCGCCCGCAGCCCCCGGCACCAGCGCCGAGCUGUGCCCACGAUUGCCGGGCCG